RNAcentral lists this ribosomal RNA (253 nucleotides) under uncultured bacterium. RNAcentral describes it as "partial 16S ribosomal RNA". It matches the Rfam family "Bacterial small subunit ribosomal RNA", at positions 524 to 776 of the family's 1533-position model. The record is from RNAcentral.
UACGGAGGAUGCAAGCGUUAUCCGGAAUGAUUGGGCGUAAAGCGUCCGCAGGUGGCUAUGUAAGUCUGCUGUUAAAGAGUGAGGCUCAACCUCAUAAGAGCAGUGGAAACUACAUGGCUAGAGUGCGUUCGGGGCAGAGGGAAUUCCAGGUGUAGCGGUGAAAUGCGUAGAGAUCAGGAAGAACACCGGUGGCGAAAGCGCUCUGCUAGGCCGCAACUGACACUGAGGGACGAAAGCUAGGGGAGCGAAUGGG